GACGAACGCUGGCGGCGUGCCUAAUACAUGCAAGUAGAACGCACAGUUUAUACCGUAGCUUGCUACACCAUAGACUGUGAGUUGCGAACGGGUGAGUAACGCGUAGGUAACCUGCCUGGUAGCGGGGGAUAACUAUUGGAAACGAUAGCUAAUACCGCAUAAUAUUGAUUAUUGCAUGAUAAUUGAUUGAAAGAUGCUAUUGCAUCACUACCAGAUGGACCUGCGUUGUAUUAGCUAGUAGGUGAGGUAACGGCUCACCUAGGCGACGAUACAUAGCCGACCUGAGAGGGUGAUCGGCCACACUGGGACUGAGACACGGCCCAGACUCCUACGGGAGGCAGCAGUAGGGAAUCUUCGGCAAUGGACGAAAGUCUGACCGAGCAACGCCGCGUGAGUGAAGAAGGUUUUCGGAUCGUAAAGCUCUGUUGUAAGAGAAGAACGGGUGUGAGAGUGGAAUGUUCACACUGUGACGGUAGCUUACCAGAAAGGGACGGCUAACUACGUG
RNAcentral lists this ribosomal RNA (505 nucleotides) under uncultured bacterium. RNAcentral describes it as "partial 16S ribosomal RNA". It matches the Rfam family "Bacterial small subunit ribosomal RNA", at positions 28 to 507 of the family's 1533-position model. The record is from RNAcentral.